Molecule: long non-coding RNA, 2253 nt
Organism: Onychostoma macrolepis
Lineage: Eukaryota; Metazoa; Chordata; Actinopteri; Cypriniformes; Cyprinidae
Exons: 3
Source: RefSeq, a predicted model, not a curated record
UUUAUUCAUGAUACAGCACGGCUAUGACCGCUUCACCAAACCGUUCUGUGUAUCACUGAGCAACACCCUUAGCAACAUAAACAAUCAAUAGCAUCAAAACUGUUUAAUGUAUUAUGCAUUUCGGCAGAAUUAACUGUCUGUUAUUUAUUUAAUGAAGCAUGAGUGACCCCUGCUGGCGUUAUGUUGCAUCUUUCAUCUUUAAUUUUGAGAACCCGCCCGUCUAAAUAAACGCUUCUCAUGCGGAGAUGUGUGUGCGGCGCGCGUCUGAGUGAAAGACUGCAGUUUCUGAAGUGAGGAGGGAAUAUUACUGAAUUUAUUAGUUUUCUGUUUCAGGUAUGAUUCUCCGCUUCGCGUCGUGCCUAACAACGCCCUUCAGCCGUGAUUUAUUCACGAUACAGCACGGCCUCUCGUACCUUAUUGCUUACUUACAGGGUAACGUUAUAUGAUUAAUGGAAGAAGGUGAAGUACACUGUAAAAAAGUAUUUUGCAGUUUAGUUGUUUCAAUUAAUGUUUUUAAGUUGACUCAACUUGCAGUUUAUUAGUUUGUUCAUUCAACUUAAAAUUUUAAAUUGUCACUGUCUCAACUAGUUCGCAAGUUGACAAAACUAGCCAUUUGCACCCUCAACUUAAAAAAAAAUGUGUUGAAUCAAUUUAAUAACGAUAUCACGUCACUUAUCGCGAGAUCACGUGAAGACUUGCAGAAAGAAGACGUUGGUCAGCCAUCUUGAUGAGCUUCUCCACAGAGCUUGAAAAUAUUUUCAAACCAACACUUUUGUUAAAGUAUAGAAGUGCCUCACCGGAACCCAUCGCAACGCUGUGUGAAUAUACGGUCGGUUAAAAAAUUGGAGGUUUGAAAAGUAAUAAUGGCAUAUACAGUAUCUUGUAUAAAAAGCCCCGUGAUAAGGAUAAUCACAAAUGUGUAAAAUUAGCUUUUCUGUUGUUUUGUUCUAAUUUCCUGUGUUAUGUAAUUUAAAAGCCUUUUCUGGAUUGUAAAAUAUGGUUUUGGUAAUUGAAACGUAAACUAGCAAUGACAUUUGACUUUCUCUGUCAAGAUUAUUUAUUUUUAUUUAUAGUGUUGUAACAUGUUUCUAUAUUUUCCAUGUUCAUGAUACUCUGCAAUGACUAAAGAUCAGCACAUAAUUCUUGUGGAUGGACCUCAGCAAGUCCUUCUGCAGUUGUAUCCAUCAAAGUGCUAUGCAGACACAAUGGGAAUGACUGUCACAUUGUAGAGCCUGGACAAAUUGUAAAUAAAUGUAUUUACUUUAUAAGUGCACAUAUUUAUUGGAGUCUGUGACUGUUAAUAUUGUAAGGCAUAUUUUAACGCUUCCCUUUGUUUUUAUUAAAGCACACAGGUUCUCAAGAGGAAUUCAUCAAGGACAAGUCUGUUGGCAUUUUAGUUGUUGUCGGUGACCAAAAUGAGCACUAUCAAUCUGCAGUGAUGUGGUCCCGAUAGUAGAAAAAUAAAUCUUGUUUAUCUGCAGUUAUAACACCCAUAUCAUGAAUUGAGAUGACAUGGGCAUCUUGGUUGUGACUGAGGAGGAGCAAUGGGAGGUGCUUCCAAAAUAAACCAAUGACGUUGCUAUCAUUUUGGAAGAGCGUCUUGUCGCUAUCGAUAUCUGUGAUGUCCCAAAAGCAUUUGUGCUCCUGAUGGGUCUUUACAUCAUUAACAAAACACAGUACAGUUCUGAUGUUCUCAAAACUUUGCACGAACAUUGGUGGGAGUAGCUGUUCUUCACGUGUUUACAGGCUACGAAACAUGCUACUCUGCAAAAAGUAGGCUUUUUGAUUGGUUUUUGCACUUUGUUCAACUCACAUUUUUUUGCCAUGUUAUGGCAUCUCUUUUUAAAAUUUUGAAUGCACUUUGAUGCAUGUUCUGACUUCUGACUUAUAUUGAAAUGGAAAAUUUCAGAAUUACUCAUCUGUUCUUUUGAUUAAAUGUGCAUUAGUGAAAGGAAUGUAGAUAUUUACUGCAAUUGUUCCAAAGAAAUUAAAUGUCAGUGUUCAUCUAUGUUUUUUAAAGAUAGGAUGUUUUAAUUCAAACACAAUAAUGCUAAGUAGGAUACUGUCAAUUUUGAAAUCAAAUAAAAUAGCAUUCUGCAUGUUCUUCAAUGUCCAUGAGCCAUUUUUCUGAAGUACUGUUAGAAAAUAGAAACUUGUUGUGCGGGCAAAUUACAUAGUUCAGCCAGUUGAAUGAACUUAACAUUACAAGUAAGAUGAACUAUUCUCGAAAAAGUUACCUGGCUGCCUUAAAAA